This is a non-coding RNA of Phrynosoma platyrhinos (Desert horned lizard), 72 nucleotides long. Lineage: Eukaryota; Metazoa; Chordata; Lepidosauria; Squamata; Phrynosomatidae. The record is from the annotation of a GenBank genome assembly.
GCCAUUGUGGUAUAGUGGUUUGUGCAUUGGACUAUGGCUCUGGAGACCAGGGUUCAAUUCCCUGAUCUGCCA